GACGAACGCUGGCGGCGUGCUUAACACAUGCAAGUCGAACGGAAAGGUCCUGAUUUUGCUGGGUGCUCGAGUGGCGAACGGGGGAGUAAAACGUGAGUAACCCGCACUUGACAUUGGGGUAACUUCAGGGGAAUGGGGCGCAUACCGGGUAGGAGAUCCUGCUGCAUGGGGGGGGUUGGAAAGUUUCGGCGGUUGGGGAUGGAAUCGCGGGUUACCCGCUUGUUGGUGGGGUAGUGGCGUACGAAGGCUUUGACGGGUAGCCGGCCUGAGAGGGUGACCGGCCACAUUGGGACUGAGAGACGGCCCAGACGGCUACGUGAGGCAGCAGUGGGGAACAUUGCGCAAUGGGCCGACGCCUGAUGUAGCAGCGCCGCGUGCGUGAUGACGUCCUUCGGGGUGUAAACCGCUGUCGCAUGUGACGAAGCGUGCGUGACGGUAAUGGGUAAAGAAGCACCGGCUAACUACGUG
Molecule: ribosomal RNA, 468 nt
Filed under: uncultured bacterium
Lineage: Bacteria
Description: partial 16S ribosomal RNA
Rfam family: Bacterial small subunit ribosomal RNA
Source: RNAcentral